ACACCGGCAGCUCAAGUGGUAGCCGCUUUUAUUGGGCCUAAAGCGUCCGUAGCCGGUCUGAUAAGUCUCUGGUGAAAUCCCACAGCUUAACUGUGGGAAUUGCUGGAGAUACUAUCAUGACUCGAGGUCGAGAGAGGCUGGAGGGACUCCCAGGGUAGGGGUGAAAUCCUGUAAUCCUGGGAGGACCACCUUGGGCGAAGGCGUCCAGCUGGAACGAACCUGACGGUGAGGGACGAAAGCCAGGGGCGCGAACCGGAUUAGAUACCCGGGUAGUCCUGGCCGUAAACGAUGUGGACUUGGUGUUGGGAUGGCUUCGAGCUGCCCCAGUGCCGAAGGGAAGAUGUUAAGUCCACCGCCUGGGAAGUACGGCCGCAAGGCUGAAACUUAAAGGAAUUGACGGGG
RNAcentral lists this ribosomal RNA (402 nucleotides) under uncultured bacterium. RNAcentral's name for it is "partial 16S ribosomal RNA". It matches the Rfam family "Archaeal small subunit ribosomal RNA", at positions 473 to 873 of the family's 1478-position model. The record is from RNAcentral.